GAUGAAGAACGUAGCGAAAUGCGAUACUUGGUGUGAAUUGCAGAAUCCCGUGAACCAUCGAGUCUUUGAACGCAAGUUGCGCCUCAAGCCAUUAGGUUGAGGGCACGUCUGCCUGGGCGUCACAUAUCGUUGCCUGAUGCCAGUUUCCUCGUGAUGGGUGACUGUGCAGGGCGAAUGAUGGCUUCCCGUGAGCAUUGUUGCCUCAUGGUUGGUUGAAAAUUGAGUCCUUGGUAGGGAGCGCCGUGAUAGAUGGUGGUUGAGUGACGAACGAGACCCAAUCAUGUGAGACCCCUACCGAAUUUGGCCUUCAUGACCCACAUGCGUCUUUGGAACGCUCAUGACGAGACCUCAGGUCAGGCGGGGCUACCCGCUGAGUUUAAGCAUAUAUAAGCGGAGGA
Molecule: unclassified non-coding RNA, 398 nt
Filed under: soil metagenome
Description: partial contains 5.8S ribosomal RNA, internal transcribed spacer 2, and large subunit ribosomal RNA
Rfam family: 5.8S ribosomal RNA (bases 1-122)
Source: RNAcentral